CAACCGGAGGAAGGUGGGGAUGACGUCAAGUCAUCAUGGCCCUUACGGCCUGGGCUACACACGUGCUACAAUGGUCGGUACAAAGGGUUGCCAAGCCGCGAGGUGGAGCUAAUCCCAUAAAACCGAUCGUAGUCCGGAUCGCAGUCUGCAACUCGACUGCGUGAAGUCGGAAUCGCUAGUAAUCGUGAAUCAGAAUGUCACGGUGAAUACGUUCCCGGGCCUU
Molecule: ribosomal RNA, 223 nt
Filed under: uncultured Pseudomonas sp.
Lineage: Bacteria; Pseudomonadati; Pseudomonadota; Gammaproteobacteria; Pseudomonadales; Pseudomonadaceae
Description: partial 16S ribosomal RNA
Rfam family: Bacterial small subunit ribosomal RNA
Source: RNAcentral